UGAAAAACUAUAAUCCAACUAAGCAAGGUCAAACACAAUAUUUCAGCAAAAUUCUAUAAAGUUGUGAAUGCAAUUGUCAGCACUCAGAGGGUAACCCUAUAUACUAAAAAGGUUCGUGAAAUGAUCAAAGUUGCUAAGCUCUUAAAAUUUUCACAACAGCUCCAAAUGACUAGUAAUUACAUCUGGGCAGGACUGGGCCCGCAGAAGCUCCAGACGGUUGAAAGGUGGAGCAAAUUGCAAAAUGUAAUCUUCAUCUGAAACAAAAAUACACACGAAAUAAAAGCAAUCGGUCACUACUUCAACAAAACAAAAACAGAGAGCGCGUAUACUACUCACCUUCUUUUACUGUUCCAUAGAGCCAGCAUAAUACCUCAUCUGCAAAAGCCAAGCAGACUCCUCCCUGCCAACAGAUUUUGUUAAUUAUCAUGAAAAGCAAAGUGAUCACACUUCAGAACUUACAGAUAUAAAUGUGAUUUUAUCCUCCUAAGAUGAUAUUGAACGAUCCUUAAUUAGCUAUGCAACGAUUAAUUGCACUUAUAAGUAUGUACUUUUUAUCAUUGAUGUGAGAGAAGGAAAUAACAUCUGGAGCGUUCUCCAUGACCCACAGGGUGUGCUUACUGCAGUUUUAAUUAACUAACGAUGCAGUAUCAAGCCACAUAAAAGAUUAGCCACCUUUCACCCUACAGCAGUUAUAC
This 695-nucleotide small RNA is filed under the name Vigna angularis var. angularis. RNAcentral's name for it is "Non-protein coding transcript". Lineage: Eukaryota; Viridiplantae; Streptophyta; Magnoliopsida; Fabales; Fabaceae. The record is from RNAcentral.